Non-coding RNA from Pelobates cultripes (western spadefoot toad), 448 nucleotides. NCBI's taxonomy places the organism in Eukaryota, Metazoa, Chordata, Amphibia, Anura, Pelobatidae. The record is from the annotation of a GenBank genome assembly.
GUCCUUGGACCUGAGGAAUCACAUAAAUUGCCAUGCUAUGUGCCAGUAAAGCCAGUUCGGUUUUGACCCUCAACUUGCAGCCUCGACUCAUGUUGUAGGGAUCCGGGAUAUUGAUGCUUACUUCGUGUUUGGGAAUAUUCUACACUUGCAGCUUACCACCGAAAGACCUCCGUUCGACUCUCUGCAGCGGGAACCAGGACAUCCAAGCGAUCAACCCUCCUGCUAGACCGGGGGCAAUCGUAACACCAUCAUAGAAGAGCCAUUUAGUAGGGUGGCCAUAAAUAUGGUAGUCAUAGAUAUAGUAGGACCCUCAUCCUCUUUUCCCGGGUGGGGUUCCCACAGGAGAUAAUCUCAGAUAGGGGUACGCAAUUCACAGCCGAAGUAACCCACCAACUCUGGAAAAUAUGUGGCAUUAAGCCUAUUGUGACUUCUGCUUACCAUCCUCAAU